This 253-nucleotide unclassified non-coding RNA is filed under the name uncultured Bacteroidota bacterium. Its description in RNAcentral is "uncultured Bacteroidetes bacterium contains 16S-23S intergenic spacer region". It matches the Rfam family "Bacterial small subunit ribosomal RNA", at positions 524 to 776 of the family's 1533-position model. Lineage: Bacteria; Pseudomonadati; Bacteroidota. The record is from RNAcentral.
UACGGAGGGUGCAAGCGUUGUCCGGAAUCACUGGGUGUAAAGGGUGUGUAGGCGGGUCGGUAAGUCAGGGGUGAAAGCCUACGGCUCAACCGUAGAAUGGCCUUUGAUACUGCCGAUCUUGAGUCCUGGAGGGGCCGUUGGAAUUCGUGGUGUAGCGGUGAAAUGCGUAGAUAUCACGAGGAACACCAGAGGUGUAGACGGACGGCUGGACAGGAACUGACGCUGAGGCACGAAAGCGUGGGGAGCAAACAGG